UGUCCUAAACUAAUUUGGCCUUAGCCCCCUUAUUGGAAAAGGAAAAUAUACAAGGUUAAAUUAAAUUUUAAUAUUGGAGGAUAACAUAUACAAGUUAAUGAAUACUCAUAUAAGAGCAAUCGUAACAACAUGGUCUAUUGGUGAACUUUCAGCUUUAGAAAUUAAAGGCAGUUUAGUAGGACAGAUAGUGAUUGCCAAUAUGGAACGUGCAAAGGUAUGAUAAUACAGACAGAUCUUGAGUUACCAAGAUGAAUAGUAGACUUUUACAUUUUUUGAAUGAUUAUAAUUGUAUGAUUUAUUUACAUAUUUCAAGUAUAAUUUUAAUUUUCUUUAUAUGAUCAAUACUGAUUUGUAAUAUUCACAUUCUUCAUAAUGGCGAUAUAUGCCUCUUGCUUUGUAGCAAGAUGAAUAGAAGUUAGCCUAGCCGUUUUAAGUCAUAUGCUUGUAUUUUUAAAAAAUCAUGUGUUGGAUGGAUUUGAAUCAUGUGGACGACAUAUUCUACAAUUGCUUAGUGAAUUUUUUGUUGUGGAACAAAGGAAGAACUUCUCUCCAUUUUGUGGUGACUUAAAAUCAACAAAAUAGUAACCCUUUGAAAGAGGGAGGAAGAGAAGAACUUCUCUCCAUCUUUUGGCAACUCUGGAUCAACCGACUAAGUUGUAUAGUUCUUUAAUGUGGUGAAUCAAGAUGUCAAGCGAAGAACUUCUCUCAUCUUGUGGCGACUCUAGAUCAAUAAA
This is a long non-coding RNA of Neltuma alba, 734 nucleotides long. RefSeq lists it as uncharacterized. Lineage: Eukaryota; Viridiplantae; Streptophyta; Magnoliopsida; Fabales; Fabaceae. The record is from RefSeq and is a predicted model, not a curated record. The transcript has 3 exons.